Molecule: ribosomal RNA, 492 nt
Filed under: Leucodecton subcompunctum
Lineage: Eukaryota; Fungi; Ascomycota; Lecanoromycetes; Ostropales; Graphidaceae
Description: eukaryotic LSU rRNA
Rfam family: Eukaryotic large subunit ribosomal RNA
Source: RNAcentral
GGGACCGAGGAACGCACUUUUGCGAGGAUGUUGGCAUAAUGGUUGUUUGCGACCCGUCUUGAAACACGGACCAAGGAGUUGUGAAAUUUUGCGAGCAUUUGGGUGUAAAACUCAUAUGCGCAAUGAAAGUGAACGUUGGUAGGAACUUUUUUGUGCACUAUCGACCGACCUGAAUUCGUGAGGGUUUGAGUAAGAGUGAAAUUUCGCUGACCCGAAAGAAGGUGAACUAUUCCUGACUAGGGUGAAGCCAGGAGAAAUCCUGGUGGAGGCUCGCAGCGGUUCUGACGUGCAAAUCGAUCGUCAAAGCUGGGAAUAGGGGCGAAAGACUAAUCGAACCUUCUAGUAGCUGGUUCCUGUCGAAGUUUCCCUCAGGAUAGCAGUAACGAUAACAGUCUCAUGAGGUAGAGCAACGAUUGGAAGCAUGGGGGAAGAAACUUCCUUCCCUUACUCUCGAACUCCGAAUAUGUGAGAAGUCCUUGUUACUUAAUUGAA